GUGAGGAAUUUUCCGCAAUGGGCGAAAGCCUGACGGAGCAAUGCCGCGUGAAGGAUGAAGGCCUAUGGGUUGUAAACUUCUUUUCUCAGAAAAGAAUUAUGACGGUAUCUGAGGAAUAAGCAUCGGCUAACUCUGUGCCAGCAGCCGCGGUAAUACGGAGGGUGCAAGCGUUGUUCGGAAUUAUUGGGCGUAAAGGGCGUGUAGGUGGCUUACCAAGUCUGGUGUGAAAUCCCACGGCUCAACCAUGGAACUGCAUUGGAAACUGGUGAGAUCGAGUAUUGGAGGGGGUCGCGGAAUUCCCGGUGUAGAGGUGAAAUUCGUAGAUAUCGGGAGGAACACCAGUGGCGAAGGCGGCGACCUGGCCAGUUACUGACACUGAGACGCGAAAGCGUGGGGAGCAAACAGGAUUAGAAACCCUGGUAGUCC
RNAcentral lists this ribosomal RNA (426 nucleotides) under uncultured bacterium. Its description in RNAcentral is "partial 16S ribosomal RNA". It matches the Rfam family "Bacterial small subunit ribosomal RNA", at positions 354 to 796 of the family's 1533-position model. The record is from RNAcentral.